Molecule: ribosomal RNA, 278 nt
Filed under: uncultured Hyphomicrobiales bacterium
Lineage: Bacteria; Pseudomonadati; Pseudomonadota; Alphaproteobacteria; Hyphomicrobiales
Description: uncultured Rhizobiales bacterium partial 16S ribosomal RNA
Rfam family: Bacterial small subunit ribosomal RNA
Source: RNAcentral
GUGCCAGCAGCCGCGGUAAUACGAAGGGGUCUAGCGUUGCUCGGAAUCACUGGGCGUAAAGGGUGCGUAGGCGGGUCUUUAAGUCAGGGGUGAAAUCUGGAGCUCAACUCCAGAACUGCUUUUGAUACUGAAGAUCUUGAGUUCGGGAGAGGUGAGUGGAACUGCGAGUGUAGAGGUGAAAUUCGUAGAUAUUCGCAAGAACACCAGUGGCGAAGGCGGCUCACUGGCCCGAUACUGACGCUGAGGCACGAAAGCGUGGGGAGCAAACAGGAUUAGAU